UAUCUCAUUGCAAGUGUAUUGACUAGAAGGUUGUAUCUCAACAUAAUCAUCUGCUAGUUACCAAGUAAAAAUAUUUUCCUAAAUCCAAAGAAAUGUAGCAAAAGGUAAACUCAUGUUGCAUAAACAGAGCUUGCUAACAUGCUGAGAAUAGCACUCUCUGACUGCUUCCUUUACAGGAAUAACAAUGGGACUGUUUGGAUGACUAAGGGCUGAGGGAUCAACUCUGCGGUCAGGUCAGAUCUGGACCAAAAUCAAAAGAAAAGAGAAGAAAAAGUAACACAUAGAACCAAUCAAAGGGGGGGAAAGGAAUAUGAAAUACCUCCUGAAUCUUCGAGCACUGGUCAAAUAGUUACUCCAGGAUGACUGCUAGUGAUGGACAGAUCCUUAUUUGUAAGUAUUUAAUGUUUCUUAGGAAGCACUUCUAAAAGAAAUUGGUAUGUAAUGACAGCACUCACUGGAAAACAGGCCGAUUAGAAAAUGCACUAACUUAUCU
RNAcentral lists this long non-coding RNA (493 nucleotides) under Chrysemys picta bellii (western painted turtle). Its description in RNAcentral is "lncRNA (ENSCPBG00000023523.1)". The record is from RNAcentral. Lineage: Eukaryota; Metazoa; Chordata; Testudines; Emydidae.